ACGCUCGACACCUACGGGAGGUAGCAGUGGGGAAUAUUGCACAAUGGGGGAAACCCUGAUGCAGCGACGCCGCGUGAGCGAAGAAGUAUUUCGGUAUGUAAAGCUCUAUCAGCAGGGAAGAAAAUGACGGUACCUGACUAAGAAGCCCCGGCUAACUACGUGCCAGCAGCCGCGGUAAUCUGAGCGGGCUGGCAAGGC
This 198-nucleotide ribosomal RNA is filed under the name uncultured bacterium. Its description in RNAcentral is "partial 16S ribosomal RNA". It matches the Rfam family "Bacterial small subunit ribosomal RNA", at positions 328 to 539 of the family's 1533-position model. The record is from RNAcentral.